Long non-coding RNA from Centrocercus urophasianus (Greater sage-grouse), 588 nucleotides. RefSeq lists it as uncharacterized. NCBI's taxonomy places the organism in Eukaryota, Metazoa, Chordata, Aves, Galliformes, Phasianidae. The transcript is spliced from 4 exons. The record is from RefSeq and is a predicted model, not a curated record.
AGGGCAGCGCUGCCAUUCGGCUGCCUCCUCACAGCACGCAGAGAACUUCAAAGCAGAAACAGGUUGGAUCUGUAGGAUGAGAAGCCAAAUGACAAGCCAGGCCCAAGAAGAACGUUGCUUAAGGCUGACAAGCAAUUGCCAAAGCCAACCUCUGAGAGCUCUCCAAGAAAGGAUCAAAACUUUACUGUGAGAUUGCAUCUACUGCUGCCAGAAUCUGCAGGAAGUUCAAGAAACAUCUUUUAUGCUAGCUCGUUGUAGCAGAAGUGCAAGUCACAGCCUGAAACAGUGAUUGAGUACCUGUGGGAGAAGCAGGGCCAAUCCAGGUGAGCUCAGGUGCAUUCAAUGCCUCUGAGUGACCAGAAGGAUUGAAGCCAGGAUCCAGCCCUUCCCAGAGCUCAUUUAAGGGUUGGCAGUGGAGACAAGGGUGUAUCACUGAUCUCUGCAUACCUGAAGCCUUCUGCAGGAGAUUCUUUAAUUCUCUUCAUGUUGAAUACUAGCUAAAGUAUUAAGACAGAAGAAUGCCAUUAUUCCUCCAACAGUAUGUGUUUGCAGCCUGUUCAUGAUAUUAUUUACAAUAAGCAGAAUCAA